RNAcentral lists this ribosomal RNA (607 nucleotides) under Acinetobacter baumannii. RNAcentral describes it as "partial 23S ribosomal RNA". It matches the Rfam family "Bacterial large subunit ribosomal RNA", at positions 1267 to 1860 of the family's 2925-position model. Lineage: Bacteria; Pseudomonadati; Pseudomonadota; Gammaproteobacteria; Moraxellales; Moraxellaceae. The record is from RNAcentral.
GGCAUGCUGGAGGUAUCAGAAGUGCGAAUGCUGACAUAAGUAACGAUAAAGCGGGUGAAAAGCCCGCUCGCCGGAAGACCAAGGGUUCCUGUCCAACGUUAAUCGGGGCAGGGUGAGUCGACCCCUAAGGCGAGGCCGAAAGGCGUAGUCGAUGGGAAACAGGUUAAUAUUCCUGUACUUGGUGUUACUGCGAAGGGGGGACGGAGAAGGCUAUGUUAGCCGGGCGACGGUUGUCCCGGUUUAAGCAUGUAGGCUGGUUGUCCAGGCAAAUCCGGAUAAUCAAGGCUGAGGUGUGAUGACGAGGCACUACGGUGCUGAAGUAACAAAUGCCCUGCUUCCAGGAAAAGCCUCUAAGCAUCAGGUAACAUCAAAUCGUACCCCAAACCGACACAGGUGGUCAGGUAGAGAAUACCAAGGCGCUUGAGAGAACUCUGCUGAAGGAACUAGGCAAAAUGGUGCCGUAACUUCGGGAGAAGGCACGCUGGUGUGUAGGUGAAGUCCCUGCGGAUGGAGCUGAGACCAGUCGAAGAUACCAGCUGGCUGCAACUGUUUAUUAAAAACACAGCACUGUGCAAACACGAAAGUGGACGUAUACGGUGUGACGCCU